GAUGAACGCUGGCGGCGUGCCUAAUACAUGCAAGUCGAGCGAACAGACGAGGAGCUUGCUCCUCUGACGUUAGCGGCGGACGGGUGAGUAACACGUGGAUAACCUACCUAUAAGACUGGGAUAACCUCGGGAAACCGGAGCUAAUACCGGAUAAUAUAUUGAACCGCAUGGUUCAAUAGUGAAAGACGGUUUUGCUGUCACUUAUAGAUGGAUCCGCGCCGCAUUAGCUAGUUGGUAAGGUAACGGCUUACCAAGGCAACGAUGCGUAGCCGACCUGAGAGGGUGAUCGGCCACACUGGAACUGAGACACGGUCCAGACUCCUACGGGAGGCAGCAGUAGGGAAUCUUCCGCAAUGGGCGAAAGCCUGACGGAGCAACGCCGCGUGAGUGAUGAAGGUCUUCGGAUCGUAAAACUCUGUUAUUAGGGAAGAACAAAUGUGUAAGUAACUAUGCUCGUCUUGACGGUACCUAAUCAGAAAGCCACGGCUAACUACGUG
RNAcentral lists this ribosomal RNA (497 nucleotides) under uncultured bacterium. RNAcentral's name for it is "partial 16S ribosomal RNA". It matches the Rfam family "Bacterial small subunit ribosomal RNA", at positions 28 to 507 of the family's 1533-position model. The record is from RNAcentral.